Long non-coding RNA from Pygocentrus nattereri (red-bellied piranha), 519 nucleotides. RefSeq lists it as uncharacterized. Lineage: Eukaryota; Metazoa; Chordata; Actinopteri; Characiformes; Serrasalmidae. The record is from RefSeq and is a predicted model, not a curated record. The transcript is spliced from 3 exons.
AAUAAAAUCCAGCAGUUGUUGUCCAGGGCUACACUGAAGACAACUGGCUCAAGAGAAACAAGCAAGCAUGAAGUCCUUGUCCGUGGCUGUUGUCGUGCUGCUGCUGGUGCUGUCGUUACACUGUGAGGACAGUGUGGUGGAUGCAAAGUGCUGUUAUAAUGGAAAAGGACUCUGUAAAUCAUUCAACGAUUGCCGGAGAUUUGGGGGACAUCCUGUCAUUAGAACAGAAUGUGGUCUGUUCUCAAGGUGUUGUAUAUAGCCCAUGGCAAGUAUCAUCAGAGGAUCCAUGGCCCGAUCCUCCAAGAUCAUGAAGUCUUAUGGGACGUCACCAAGAGGACCUACUCUGGACUCCAAUCUGUUGAUGCUGUGAUAAUGAAGACUUUCAAGCAUCAAGAAAAGAUGAUCUUAUUCACUAAAUCAUAAAAUAUUAAUUGUAACUAUUUUUUCUUUAUAGAAAAUCUCACAAUAGAUUUACUAACAAGUCUAAAGCUUUACUGUAAUUCUGUAUUAAUCACUUUG